GGUUCAGGACGAACGCUGGCGGCGUGCCUAACACAUGCAAGUCGAGCGGGGACAUUGCGACGGAUUUGAAAUUUCGGAUGGAUAUGAAGAUGUAAUGUUCUAGCGGCGGACGGGUGAGUAACGCGUGAGCAACCUGUCCCUUACAGGGGGAUAACACAGCGAAAGUUGUACUAAUACCGCAUAAGACCACAGAGCGACAUCGCUUAGGGGUCAAAGGAGCAAUCCGGUAAGGGGUGGGCUCGCGUCCGAUUAGAUAGUUGGUGAGGUAACGGCCCACCAAGUCGACGAUCGGUAGCCGACCCGAGAGGGUGAUCGGCCACAUUGGGACUGAGACACGGCCCAAACUCCUACGGGAGGCAGCAGUGGGGAAUAUUGGGCAAUGGGGGGAAACCCUGACCCAGCAACGCCGCGUGAGGGAAGAAGGUUUUCGGAUCGUAAACCUCUGUCCUUGGUGAAGAGAAAGAGACGGUAGCCAAGGAGGAAGCCCCGGCUAACUACGUGCCAGCCGCCGC
This 512-nucleotide ribosomal RNA is filed under the name uncultured bacterium. RNAcentral describes it as "bacterial SSU rRNA". It matches the Rfam family "Bacterial small subunit ribosomal RNA", at positions 21 to 518 of the family's 1533-position model. The record is from RNAcentral.